RNAcentral lists this transfer RNA (93 nucleotides) under Bacillota bacterium. RNAcentral's name for it is "tRNA-Ser". It matches the Rfam family "tRNA". Rfam says of the family: Transfer RNA (tRNA) molecules are approximately 80 nucleotides in length. Lineage: Bacteria; Bacillati; Bacillota. The record is from RNAcentral.
GGAGAGGUGGCCGAGUCGGCUGAAGGCGGUCGCCUGCUAAGCGAUUGUGCGGCUAAUACCGUACCGCGGGUUCGAAUCCCGCCCUCUCCGCCA